This is a long non-coding RNA of Herpailurus yagouaroundi (jaguarundi), 288 nucleotides long. RefSeq lists it as uncharacterized. The transcript is spliced from 3 exons. The record is from RefSeq and is a predicted model, not a curated record. NCBI's taxonomy places the organism in Eukaryota, Metazoa, Chordata, Mammalia, Carnivora, Felidae.
ACCGGGCUCAAGUCUUGACAACGUUCCUUCCGGUCAGCCUGUCCCCUUGCCACAGUCCAUGAAGUGACACCAUUCUUAAGGCUUCUCAAAAGCACCGUUAUUUCAGUUAAUUCCAGCAAGCUGGACUACACUUAACAUAUAACCUUUGGUGGAGUGGAGACGACUUGUCUGUCCUGUCCAAGCUUAAAUACCAAGGGAAUGACUUUAAAUCUUGCUGGAUGGAACUGCCACUCACCGCUAGAAAUCGGGGAUCAACAGCGAACUCUGGAUGACCCUGUAACCACAUCU